UGAGCAAUCUGCCCUUCACAUCGGAAUAACCAUUGGAAACGAUGGCUAAUACCGAAUAUGACUUCGGAUCGCAUGAUCUGAAGUGGAAAGCUCCGGCGGUGAAGGAUGAGCUCGCGGCCUAUCAGCUUGUUGGUGAGGUAAUGGCUCACCAAGGCGACGACGGGUAGCCGGCCUGAGGAGGGUCGACCGGCCACACGUGGGACUGAGACACGGCCCAGACCUCCG
This 225-nucleotide ribosomal RNA is filed under the name uncultured bacterium. Its description in RNAcentral is "partial 16S ribosomal RNA". It matches the Rfam family "Bacterial small subunit ribosomal RNA", at positions 118 to 341 of the family's 1533-position model. The record is from RNAcentral.